This 73-nucleotide transfer RNA is filed under the name Canis lupus familiaris (dog). It matches the Rfam family "tRNA". From Rfam's summary of the family: Transfer RNA (tRNA) molecules are approximately 80 nucleotides in length. The record is from Rfam by way of RNAcentral. Lineage: Eukaryota; Metazoa; Chordata; Mammalia; Carnivora; Canidae. RNAcentral also lists the same sequence under 2 other names.
GCCUGGCUGGCUCAGUUGGUAGAGCAUGAGACUCUUGAUCUCAGGGUCAUAAGUUCGAUCCCCACAGUGGGCA